GGACGGGUGAGUAAUGCCUAGGAAUCUGCCCGGUAGUGGGGGACAACGUUUCGAAAGGAACGCUAAUACCGCAUACGUCCUACGGGAGAAAGUGGGGGAUCUUCGGACCUCACGCUAUCGGAUGAGCCUAGGUCGGAUUAGCUAGUUGGUGAGGUAAUGGCUCACCAAGGCGACGAUCCGUAACUGGUCUGAGAGGAUGAUCAGUCACACUGGAACUGAGACACGGUCCAGACUCCUACGGGAGGCAGCAGUGGGGAAUAUUGGACAAUGGGCGAAAGCCUGAUCCAGCCAUGCCGCGUGUGUGAAGAAGGUCUUCGGAUUGUAAAGCACCUUAAGUUGGGAGGAAGGGCAGUAAGUUAAUACCUUGCUGUUUUGACGUUACCAACAGAAUAAGCACCGGCUAACUUCGUGCCAGCAGCCGCGGUAAUACGAAGGGUGCAAGCGUUAAUCGGAAUUACUGGGCGUAAAGCGCGCGUAGGUGGUUCAGCAAGUUGGAUGUGAAAGCCCCGGGCUCAACCUGGGAACUGCAUCCAAAACUACUGAGCUAGAGUACGGUAGAGGGUGGUGGAAUUUCCUGUGUAGCGGUGAAAUGCGUAGAUAUAGGAAGGAACACCAGUGGCGAAGGCGACCACCUGGACUGAUACUGACACCGAGGUGCGAAAGCGUGGGGAGCAAACAGGAUUAGAUACCCUGGUAGUCCACGCCGUAAACGAUGUCAACUAGCUGUUGGGUUCCUUGAGAACUUAGUAGCGCAGCUAACGCGAUAAGUUGACCGCCUGGGGAGUACGGCCGCAAGGUUAAAACUCAAAUGAAUUGACGGGGGCCCGCACAAGCGGUGGAGCAUGUGGUUUAAUUCGAAGCAACGCGAAGAACCUUACCUGGCCUUGACAU
This 891-nucleotide ribosomal RNA is filed under the name uncultured bacterium. Its description in RNAcentral is "bacterial SSU rRNA". It matches the Rfam family "Bacterial small subunit ribosomal RNA", at positions 100 to 987 of the family's 1533-position model. The record is from RNAcentral.